CGGUAAUUCCAGCUCCAAUGGUGUAUGCUAACAUUGUUGCAGUUAAAAAGCUCGUAGUCGAAUUUUUAAGGGAAUCAAUUUCGUGUGGUCUUAAUGAACUACAAAGGAAGAUGAUUUAUCUUAUUUUGCGCUUAUACACCAUUGGAAUUCGUUUUCUGACAGUGAAUUAAGUGUGUAUUUACUUUGAGAAAAUUAGAGUGUUCUAAGCAGUCUUACGGCUUUAUCCUAAAGCAUGGAAUGAUAAGUAAUGACAUCGGUUAAUUUCUGUUGGUUUGAGAGGUUGAUGUAAUGAUUUAUAGAGUUAGUCGGAGGUAUUAGUAUUUUGUCGUUAGAGGUGAAAUUCCGGGAUCGACAAAAGACUAACAACUGCGAAGGCAUUUACCUAGGAUUUGCUCCUUGAUCAAGAACGUAAGUUGGGGGAUCGAAGACGAUCAGAUACCGUCGUAGUCUCAACUUUAAACUAUAUCAGCUAGGGGUUGGCAAAUGUUUAUAUGACUUUGUUAGAACCUUAAGAGAAAUCAAAGCGUUUGGGUUCCGGGGGGAGUAUGGUCGCAAGGCUGAAACUUAAAGGAAUUGACGGAAGGGCACCACAAGAUGUGGAUCCUGUGGCUUAAUUUUGACUCAACACUGGAAAACUUACCAGGUCCAGACAUAGGUAAGAUAGACAGGUUGAUAGCUCUUUCUUGAUUCUAUGGGUGGUGGUGCAUGGCCGUUCUUAGUUGGUGGAGUGAUUUGUCUGGUUAAUUCCGUUAACGAACGAGACUAUUACCUGCUAAAUAGUACGAUCUUUUAAUUAGGAUAGUUGCUUCUUAGAGGGACUGGCUUUGCAUAAAUCGCUGGAAGUUGGUAGCAAUAACAGGUCUGUGAUGCCCUUAGAUGUCCUGGGCAGCGCACGGGCUACAAUAGGAGAGUAACUAAGCUUGUUCAACUUACCUCGAAAAGGGCUGUGAAAUCUUAAAACUAUUCUUAUAUUUGGGAUCGCGCUUUGAAAUUUUAACGUGUAAACCAGGAAUACCUAGUAAGUGUAUGUCAUCAACGUGCACUGAAUACGUCCCUGCCCUUUGUACACACCGCCCGUCGCUCCUACCGAUUGGAUGAGUUGGUGAGUGGAUUGGAGUAAUCACUAUCUUCUUUAACAGCAGAUAGUAGUAUUUAAUAAGAUUCGCAAACUAGAUUAUCUAGAGGAAGGAGAAUUCGAAACAAGGUAACC
Molecule: ribosomal RNA, 1210 nt
Filed under: uncultured eukaryote
Lineage: Eukaryota
Description: SSU rRNA
Rfam family: Eukaryotic small subunit ribosomal RNA
Source: RNAcentral